CCUACGGGAGGCAGCAGUGGGGAAUAUUGCACAAUGGGGGAAACCCUGAUGCAGCGACGCCGCGUGAGUGAAGAAGUAUUUCGGUACGUAAAGCUCUAUCAGCAGGGAAGAAAAAAAGUCCUUUGGACUUUGGACGGUACUUGACCAAGAGGCACCGGCUAACUACGUGCCAGCAGCCGCGGUAAUACGGAGGGGGCAAGCGUUAUCCGGAUUUACUGGGUGUAAAGGGAGCGUAGACGGCAGCGCAAGUCUGGAGUGAAAUGCCGGGGCCCAACCCCGGAACUGCGUUGGAAACUGUGCAGCUGGAGUGCAGGAGAGGUAAGCGGAAUUCCUAGUGUAGCGGUGAAAUGCGUAGAUAUUAGGAGGAACACCAGUGGCGAAGGCGGCUUACUGGACUGUAACUGACGUUGAGGCUCGAAAGCGUGGGGAUCAAACAGGAUUAGAUACCCGUGUAGUC
Molecule: ribosomal RNA, 457 nt
Filed under: uncultured bacterium
Lineage: Bacteria
Description: partial 16S ribosomal RNA
Rfam family: Bacterial small subunit ribosomal RNA
Source: RNAcentral